Molecule: ribosomal RNA, 303 nt
Filed under: uncultured bacterium
Lineage: Bacteria
Description: partial 16S ribosomal RNA
Rfam family: Bacterial small subunit ribosomal RNA
Source: RNAcentral
AGCAGCAGCCGCGGGAAUACAGAGGGUGCGAGCGUUAAUCGGAUUUACUGGGCGUAAAGCGUGCGUAGGCGGCUAAUUGAGUCGGAUGUGAAAUCCCCGAGCUUAACUUGGGAAUUGCAUUCGAUACUGGUUAGCUAGAGUGUGGGAGAGGAUGGUAGAAUUCCAGGUGUAGCGGUGAAAUGCGUAGAGAUCUGGAGGAAUACCGAUGGCGAAGGCAGCCAUCUGGCCUAACACUGACGCUGAGGUACGAAAGCAUGGGGAGCAAACAGGAUUAGAUACCCGCGUAGUCCCUGUCUCUUAUAU